Molecule: ribosomal RNA, 596 nt
Filed under: Clostridioides difficile
Lineage: Bacteria; Bacillati; Bacillota; Clostridia; Peptostreptococcales; Peptostreptococcaceae
Description: partial 23S ribosomal RNA
Rfam family: Bacterial large subunit ribosomal RNA
Source: RNAcentral
UUGGGGUUGCGGACAUAUCAUAACGAAGAGGUAUCGUAAUUGAAGAGGUUUGGAAAGACCCACCACAGAAGGUAAUAGUCCUGUAUGUUAAACGAGAAGACUUUAGAUAUGAUCCAGAGUACCACGGGACACGUGAAACCCUGUGGGAAGCAGGAGGGACCACCCUCCAAGGCUAAAUACUACCUAGUGACCGAUAGCGUAUAGUACCGUGAGGGAAAGGUGAAAAGAACCCCGGGAGGGGAGUGAAAUAGAACCUGAAACCCUGCACUUACAAGCUGUGGAAGCACAUUUCUUGUGUGACCGCGUACUUUUUGUAGAACGGGCCAACGAGUUACGUUAAGUAGCAAGGUUAAGCACUUAAGGUGCGGAGCCGUAGCGAAAGCGAGUUUUAACUGAGCGUUCAGUUACUUGACGUAGACCCGAAACCGGGCGACCUACCCAUGAGCAGGAUGAAGCGAAAGUAAAAUUUCGUGGAGGUCCGAACCCACGAGCGUUGAAAAGCUCGGGGAUGACUUGUGGGUAGCGGUGAAAUUCCAAUCGAGCCCGGAGAUAGCUGGUUCUCCCCGAAAUAGCUUUAGGGCUAGCCUCAAGGUGAG